Non-coding RNA from Acanthosepion pharaonis, 112 nucleotides. The record is from the annotation of a GenBank genome assembly. Lineage: Eukaryota; Metazoa; Mollusca; Cephalopoda; Sepiida; Sepiidae.
ACGGCCAUAUCACGUUGAAACACCGGUUUCCGUACGAUCAUCGAAGUUAGGCAACAUCGAGCCUGGUUAAUAUCUAGAUGGGUGACCGCUUGGAAAUACCAGGUGCUGUAAG